Paramormyrops kingsleyae is the source of this 686-nucleotide long non-coding RNA. RefSeq lists it as uncharacterized. Lineage: Eukaryota; Metazoa; Chordata; Actinopteri; Osteoglossiformes; Mormyridae. The record is from RefSeq and is a predicted model, not a curated record.
GGGGGGGACACCCAGUCGUCACGGCUACGGCGGAAUCCAAGCAAGUCAUGGGACCGCUCGGCGUCCUCAGUGUCAGUAUGUGCAAGGUGCAGGGGGAACGGUACGUCGUGUGGCACUUCCUGUUGUCAGAGCAUUGAAGGUCUCCUGGCAUCUGCUAUCAUGAGGAUGGGACCUGCAAACAGGCCGUUUCCCCUGCACUUCAGAAAUACAGGCCCAGCGGGGGAAGCAGCUGUGAUGUCAGAUGAGGAAAGUACUUCACAUGUUAUUUCAAGACUGUGCAGGCAACGGUGAAGCCUUGGAUCUCGGAUACAAUCUUUUGUUCUUUAUUCUUUACUUUAUUAGGACCAUCAAUACACCUGUUGGAGAGACAGCGGAUACACAAAUGCUGGUAAUUUGUGGUACUGUACAGGCGUGACAGCUAAGGAGUAGCAAACCAAUGACACUACAGUCAACAAGGACGCCCUGGUGACUGCCAUGCUCUCUGAAUGGGGGAUCGGGAUGGGCAAACAAGGACAUAGGAAAAACCAGCUAUCAUUUAGGCCACGCCCACCAACCCCACCGGGCCAAUGAAUAGAUAAUACAUAGAAAGUACUAAAUGAUAGCUGGAGAUCCUGGGAGUACAGGCAAUGAUCACACAAUCAUAUUCCAUUAAAAAAGUAUCCAUUUUCAAAAAGAAAUAAAACAAC